AGCGAACGCUGGCGGCAGGCCUAACACAUGCAAGUCGAACGAACUCUUCGGAGUUAGUGGCGGACGGGUGAGUAACACGUGGGAAUGUGCCUUUUGGUUCGGAAUAACUCAGGGAAACUUGUGCUAAUACCGAAUGUGCCCUUCGGGGGAAAGAUUUAUCGCCAUUAGAGCGGCCCGCGUCUGAUUAGCUAGUUGGUGAGGUAACGGCUCACCAAGGCGACGAUCAGUAGCUGGUCUGAGAGGAUGACCAGCCACACUGGGACUGAGACACGGCCCAGACCCCUACGGGGGGAAGCAGGGGGGAAUUUUGCGCAAGGGGCGAAAGCCUGACGCAGCCAUGCCGGGGGAAUGAAGAAGGGUUUAGGAUUUAAAAAUUCUUUCCCCGGGGAGGAUAAUGACGGUACCCGGAAAAGAAGCCCCGGCUAACUUCGU
RNAcentral lists this ribosomal RNA (432 nucleotides) under uncultured bacterium. RNAcentral's name for it is "partial 16S ribosomal RNA". It matches the Rfam family "Bacterial small subunit ribosomal RNA", at positions 29 to 506 of the family's 1533-position model. The record is from RNAcentral.